Rana temporaria (common frog) is the source of this 372-nucleotide long non-coding RNA. RefSeq lists it as uncharacterized. The record is from RefSeq and is a predicted model, not a curated record. The transcript has 3 exons. Lineage: Eukaryota; Metazoa; Chordata; Amphibia; Anura; Ranidae.
GCCACUGCUCUGGAGAAGGAAGUGUGAGAGUAUUCAACAAUCGUCCUAACUACCUGCUGCCACCCUGAAUCACUUUCUUUGUUGAUCUAAGCAUGAGCUCACAACAGCCCCAGAAUGCACCAAGAUCUCCGGACAGGUAGGAGGGGUCAACGGGGGCCACAGUUUAAAAGAGUGCGCACCAAGAGCUAAAAGUAGUUUUUCUUGGUUGUCUUUUUAGGAGCAGAAGCCCUAAAAUAAGACAUGAACGGAGAAAGAAGUCCCGCCACCGCUCAAAAUCUCCGCAGGCGUCUGGCUCUCGGGCAACGCAUAGGUCCCAUUCCAGCCCAGCACGCAAAUCCAGUCACUCUGCGACUGUAGCAGAGCAAGAUGGGU